RNAcentral lists this ribosomal RNA (443 nucleotides) under uncultured bacterium. RNAcentral describes it as "partial 16S ribosomal RNA". It matches the Rfam family "Bacterial small subunit ribosomal RNA", at positions 338 to 795 of the family's 1533-position model. The record is from RNAcentral.
CCUACGGGUGGCUGCAGUGGGGAAUAUUGCACAAUGGGGGGAACCCUGAUGCAGCAAUGCCGCGUGAAGGAUGAAGGUUUUCGGAUUGUAAACUUCUUUUGUACGGGACGAAGAAAGUGACGGUACCGUAAGAAUAAGCCACGGCUAACUACGUGCCAGCAGCCGCGGUAAUACGUAGGUGGCAAGCGUUAUCCGGAUUUACUGGGUGUAAAGGGCGAGUAGGCGGGAUUGCAAGUCAGAUGUGAAAACUAUGGGCUCAACCGAUAGAGUGCAUUUGAAACUGGCAUUCUUGAGUGGGCGAGAAGUAUGCGGAAUGCGUGGUGUAGCGGUGAAAUGCAUAGAUAUCACGCAGAACUCCGAUUGCGAAGGCAGCAUACCGGCGCCCGACUGACGCUGAGGCACGAAAGCGUGGGUAUCGAACAGGAUUAGAUACCCCAGUAGUC